RNAcentral lists this long non-coding RNA (1904 nucleotides) under Homo sapiens (human). RNAcentral describes it as "non-protein coding LINC01898:8". The record is from RNAcentral. Lineage: Eukaryota; Metazoa; Chordata; Mammalia; Primates; Hominidae.
AGCCAUGCAGCUGCCAUUUUGGAUCUGAGAGAGUUGGCCAUGCAGCAGCGUUUCGGAUCCGAGAGCUGGCCAUGCAGCAGCCAUUAAGGAUCCAAGAGUCGGUCAUGUAGCAGCCAUUUCGGAUCUGAGAGAGUCGGCCAUGCAGCAGCCGUUUGGGAUCUGAGAGUCGGCCAUGCAGCAGCCGUUUGGGAUCUGAGAGAGUCGGCCAUGCAGCAGCCAUUUGUGCAUGCUUCCCUUCUCCCAGCCCCACAGGAGACUGACUCUGCAUCCUGCCUCCUUUCAAAUGCAUCCUGUGCCAACAGUUUCUGAAAACGGAUAAACAAAUUGACAACCUCAAAUGCAAAGAUGAAACAUUUCUCCAGAUCAUCAGGCACAUGGUUUACUCAGGCCCAGAGGAGUGAGCUGAUAUAAAGAAGCUGUGCCACACAGUCGGAUGGGGUCCGAAGGAAACAAUAGGGCUGAGUGAUGAGUAUUGAAGAAGAAAUCUAAAGAAAGAAUGUCUUAUCAGCUGACCGCAAAGCUGCCUCCUUCUACCUGGCCACAUUGCUUAUCUAUUGUACUGCGUCUCUCUUGGAUGGAAACGAUACACCAAUCACUCAUAAGUGAAUAAUUUCCUUCUAAAUCACAGGCCUACACCUGAGGUGGCUGCCACAGGUGUAACCUGUUUAGACCAGCAAUUAUAUUUACUCCAUGAUGACAGAAAACAGGAAAGAUGUAUCAUACAGUGCAUUUGCUCCUGCUAUUUAUAAAUAGACCUCUUUACAUUAGCACUACAUAUGACUGUCUCAUCCACUUAUCAGCAAUUUAAUAUAUCACAGACAACAUGGGUUAAAAGCAAAAUAAGUUUCAAACACUAACCUCAGUUUACUCAUAAAUAUUUCACUUCUACAAACCUUGUUUAUUCAAGCUAUGGUUCUAUACAAAUUGGCAAGUCAUUCUUUAUUUUACUUUUCUGUGGUUCUAGACCCUUCUAGACUAAAGAUCUCUGACUUUACUGCUGCCUUUUCUAGAUGUUUUCCUGAGUACACAUGUGAGCUUAUUGUUAACAUCAGUCUCUUUCCCUUUAAGAACUGGUUUUUUUCUGAUGGCUGUGGUCUAAGAGAGCUCACUCUGGAUUUCUCUCUGUUAGUUUUCUAACAUAACCCACAGUGAUAAAUCUAUUUUAUGUUGGGAAUAAGGGAAUAUUUAUACGUAAAGUCAAACAAAAUUGAAGUUUACUUAUGCUUUUUUGCACUUUGAUAUUUUCUAUAUAUUCUGCCAUGUUCCCUAAUAUUCUCUGUUAUUCUAUUUUAUUUUUAAGAAAAUGAUUGGUCUCUACCCUCACAAUGAUUCUGCAAUCCACUGUGGGAACAUGACGCACAGCCUCGAGCCACUGUGGGAGCUUCCUCAUCAGAAGGGAGGGGUACCAGGGGGUGUGGUGAUGUGGCCCUAGGUGCGGGAAUUUCCAAAAGGGAAGCUCUGGUAGCAGCCUCUCAUCUAUAGUAUCAUAUUUUCAGUGUCAUCGUAACGCAGAGAAGUAGAAGAUUCAAGACUUUGGAAAACAGCCAUUUUCUCUCAAUUACAAGAAUAAUAACAGUAUUUGAAAGAUCCUAAAAGUGGUGAAGAUGGAGUAAGUGUUUGGUAGGGAAUCCCUGCCCUGGCUGAUCAUUAUGUCUGCCUUGGCUGUACAUGUGAUCUUGGUGGCAUUUCUGGACUAUCACCCAGAGAGGUGGGUUAAGACUGGUUAAGACCGCAGAGUCAGACCGCUUGGAGUUGAAUCCUGACACCACCGCAUUCUAGCUGUGUGACUUUAGAAAGUCCCUUAGCCUCUAUGAAAUUUAGUUUGCUCAAUCAGAAAAAGAGAAUAAUGACACUGUUCAUCUUACAGAAUUGUUGCAAGGAUUAAAUAAACUAUCAGAUGGAAA